UAAAAUGUAUGCUGUCUAGAUGCCUAAAAGACAUUUCAGAAAUAGGGGCUGGGCAAGACCGGUGCCAGCCGCCGCGGGUACACCGGCGGCUCGAGUGGUAACCGUUAUUAUUGGGUCUAAAGGGUCUGUAGCCGGCCUUAAUAAGUCUCUUGAUAAAUCUGGCAGCUUAACUGUCAGGCUUUCAGGAGAUACUGUCUGGCUCGAGGCCGGGAGAGGUGAGAGGUACUUCAGGGGUAGGGGUGAAAUCUUGUAAUCCAA
Molecule: ribosomal RNA, 258 nt
Filed under: uncultured Methanobrevibacter sp.
Lineage: Archaea; Methanobacteriati; Methanobacteriota; Methanobacteria; Methanobacteriales; Methanobacteriaceae
Description: partial 16S ribosomal RNA
Rfam family: Archaeal small subunit ribosomal RNA
Source: RNAcentral